UUUCCGUAGGUGAACCUGCGGAAGGAUCAUUAUUGUAUAACCGAGGUGCGAGGGCUGUCGCUGAACCGAAAGGUCGUGCACGCCCGAGUGCCCUCACACACAUCCAUCUGACCCCUAUGUGCACCACCGCGUGGGUCCCCCUUUGGCUUGUUCGGAGGGGGGCUUACGUUUUCACACAAACAUUGUAUGCAGUGUAGAAUGUAUUUUUUGUUUUUGCGAUCACGCAAUCAAUACAACUUUCAACAACGGAUCUCUUGGCUCUC
RNAcentral lists this unclassified non-coding RNA (263 nucleotides) under plant metagenome. RNAcentral's name for it is "partial contains small subunit ribosomal RNA, internal transcribed spacer 1, and 5.8S ribosomal RNA". The record is from RNAcentral.